UGAAGCAGGGGCCCCGCAUGGGGAUAUUUGCUAAAGAUUCAUCGCUGAUAGAUAGGCAUGCGUUCCAUUAGGCAGUUGGCGGGGUAACGGCCCACCAAACCGACGAUGGAUAGGGGUUCUGAGAGGAAGGUCCCCCACAUUGGUACUGAGACACGGACCAAACUCCUACGGGAGGCAGCAGUGAGGAAUAUUGGUCAAUGGGCGUAAGCCUGAACCAGCCAAGUCGCGUGAGGGAUGAAGGUUCUAUGGAUCGUAAACCUCUUUUAUAAGGGAAUAAAGUGCGGGACGUGUCCCGUUUUGUAUGUACCUUAUGAAUAAGGAUCGGCUAACUCCGUGCCAGCAGCCGCGGUAAUACGGAGGAUCCGAGCGUUAUCCGGAUUUAUUGGGUUUAAAGGGUGCGUAGGCGGCCUUUUAAGUCAGCGGUGAAAGUCUGUGGCUCAACCAUAGAAUUGCCGUUGAAACUGGGGGGCUUGAGUAUGUUUGAGGCAGGCGGAAUGCGUGGUGUAGCGGUGAAAUGCUUAGAUAUCACGCAGAACCCCGAUUGCGAAGGCAGCCUGCCAAGCCAUGACUGACGCUGAUGCACGAAAGCGUGGGGAUCAAACAGGAUUAGAUACCCUGGUAGUCCACGCAGUAAACGAUGAUCACUAGCUGUUUGCGAUACACUGUAAGCGGCACAGCGAAAGCGUUAAGUGAUCCACCUGGGGAGUACGCCGGCAACGGUGAAACUCAAAGGAAUUGACGGGGGCCCGCACAAGCGGAGGAACAUGUGGUUUAAUUCGAUGAUACGCGAGGAACCUUACCCGGGUUUGAACGCAUUCGGACCGAGGUGGAAACACCUUUUCUAGCAAUAGCCGUUUGCGAGGUGCUGCAUGGUUGUCGUCAGCUCGUGCCGUGAGGUGUCGGCUUAAGUGCCAUAACGAGCGCAACCCUUGCCACUAGUUACUAACAGGUAAAGCUGAGGACUCUGGUGGGACUGCCAGCGUAAGCUGCGAGGAAGGCGGGGAUGACGUCAAAUCAGCACGGCCCUUACAUCCGGGGCGACACACGUGUUACAAUGGCGUGGACAAAGGGAUGCCACCUGGCGACAGGGAGCGAAUCCCCAAACCACGUCUCAGUUCGGA
Molecule: ribosomal RNA, 1121 nt
Filed under: Parabacteroides distasonis
Lineage: Bacteria; Pseudomonadati; Bacteroidota; Bacteroidia; Bacteroidales; Tannerellaceae
Description: bacterial SSU rRNA
Rfam family: Bacterial small subunit ribosomal RNA
Source: RNAcentral